CCUACGGGUGGCAGCAGUAGGGAAUAUUGCUCAAUGGGGGCAACCCUGACGCAGCAACGCCGCGUGGGUGAUGAAGGUUUUCGGAUCGUAAACCUCUUUUGUUAGAGAAGAUAAUGACGUUAUCUAACGAAUAACCACCGGCUAACUCCGUGCCAGCAGCCGCCGUAAUACGGAGGGCGCAAGCGUUCCUCGGAAUCACUGGGCGGAAAGAGCGCGUAGGCGGGUUAGCAAGUCAGAUGUGAAAUCCUAUGGCUUAACCAUAGAAGUGCAUUUGAAACUGGUAUUCUAGAGUAUGGGAGAGGUAGGUGGAAUUCUUGGUGUAGGGGUAAAAUCCGUAGAGAUCAAGAGGAAUACUCAUUGCGAAGGCGACUUGCUAGAACAUAACUGACGCUGAGGCGCGAAAGCGUGGGGAGCAAACAGGAUUAGAUACCCGAGUAGUC
This 440-nucleotide ribosomal RNA is filed under the name uncultured bacterium. Its description in RNAcentral is "partial 16S ribosomal RNA". It matches the Rfam family "Bacterial small subunit ribosomal RNA", at positions 338 to 795 of the family's 1533-position model. The record is from RNAcentral.